AUGCUCGCUUGGGCAGCACAUAUACUAAAAUCGGAACCAUACAGAGAUUAGCAUGGCCCCUGCGCGUGAAUGACAUGCAAAUUUGUGAAGCGUUCCAUAUUUUU
Molecule: small nuclear RNA, 104 nt
Organism: Cercocebus atys (sooty mangabey)
Lineage: Eukaryota; Metazoa; Chordata; Mammalia; Primates; Cercopithecidae
Source: Ensembl